UAGGGAAUCUUCGGCAAUGGACGGAAGUCUGACCGAGCAACGCCGCGUGUGUGAAGAAGGUUUUCGGAUCGUAAAGCUCUGUUGUUAGAGAAGAACGUUGGUAGGAGUGGAAAAUCUACCAAGUGACGGUAACUAACCAGAAAGGGACGGCUAACUACGUGCCAGCAUCCGCGGUAAUACGUAGGUCCCGAGCGUUUUCCGGAUUUAUUGGGCUUAAAGCGAGCGCAGGCGGUUCUUUAAGUCUGAAGUUAAAGGCAGUGGCUUAACCAUUGUACGCUUUGGAAACUGGAGGACUUGAGUGCAGAAGUGGAGAGUGGAAUUCCAUGUGUAGCAGUGAAAUGCGUAGAUAUAUGGAGGAACACCGGUGGCGAAAGCGGCUCUCUGGUCUGUAACUGACGCUGAGGCUCGAAAGCGUGGGGAGCAAACAGG
Molecule: ribosomal RNA, 429 nt
Filed under: Bacillota bacterium
Lineage: Bacteria; Bacillati; Bacillota
Description: Firmicutes bacterium partial 16S ribosomal RNA
Rfam family: Bacterial small subunit ribosomal RNA
Source: RNAcentral